RNAcentral lists this ribosomal RNA (465 nucleotides) under Vreelandella stevensii. RNAcentral describes it as "partial 16S ribosomal RNA". It matches the Rfam family "Bacterial small subunit ribosomal RNA", at positions 338 to 795 of the family's 1533-position model. Lineage: Bacteria; Pseudomonadati; Pseudomonadota; Gammaproteobacteria; Oceanospirillales; Halomonadaceae. The record is from RNAcentral.
CCUACGGGAGGCUGCAGUGGGGAAUAUUGGACAAUGGGGGCAACCCUGAUCCAGCCAUGCCGCGUGUGUGAAGAAGGCCCUCGGGUUGUAAAGCACUUUCAGUGAGGAAGAACGCCUGGUGGUUAAUACCCAUCAGGAAAGACAUCACUCACAGAAGAAGCACCGGCUAACUCCGUGCCAGCAGCCGCGGUAAUACGGAGGGUGCGAGCGUUAAUCGGAAUUACUGGGCGUAAAGCGCGCGUAGGUGGCUUGAUAAGCCGGUUGUGAAAGCCCCGGGCUCAACCUGGGAACGACAUCCGGAACUGUCAAGCUAGAGUGCAGGAGAGGAAGGUAGAAUUCCCGGUGUAGCGGUGAAAUGCGUAGAGAUCGGGAGGAAUACCAGUGGCGAAGGCGGCCUUCUGGACUGACACUGACACUGAGGUGCGAAAGCGUGGGUAGCAAACAGGAUUAGAUACCCUAGUAGUC